This 253-nucleotide ribosomal RNA is filed under the name uncultured bacterium. Its description in RNAcentral is "partial 16S ribosomal RNA". It matches the Rfam family "Bacterial small subunit ribosomal RNA", at positions 524 to 776 of the family's 1533-position model. The record is from RNAcentral.
UACGUAGGGGGCUAGCGUUGUCCGGAUUUAUUGGGCGUAAAGAGCGUGUAGGCGGCCAGGUAGGUCUGGUGUGAAAACUCGAGGCUUAACCUCGAGAUGUCAUCGGAAACCAUCUGGCUAGAGUCCGGAAGAGGAGAGUGGAAUUCCUGGUGUAGCGGUGAAAUGCGCAGAUAUCAGGAGGAACACCGGUGGUGUAGACGGCUUUCUGGACCGUAACUGACGCUGAGACACGAAAGCGUGGGUAGCAAACAGG